GAACACAAAAUGGCGACACGUGGUUAGCAUUCGUCGCCAACGAGAAAUUGGGGUCGGCCCGAAAGCUCUAGAAUGCACCCCUCUUCCUCCCCGGGGCCUUCCACCUCCGCGAGUUUUAUGACUUAAAAAAGCCCACAGGCUGGUCUGAAGGUCGGAGGCCUAAUUUUAACGCGUUUUCCUCCCUUUAAUUUGAAACGGGAACGCGAAUGACUGUAAAAUGUGGGCACAAUAUUUAAUCUCUCGCCUUUUUAAAGCUUAAUAGUGGAUAAUAGGGGGGCAGUAUCAAGGGAUAAUUUGGGUCCCCACAGUACCAAAGCAUUUAGAAACCUCUGUUUAAUUUAAGGAAUGAGAUAAGUUACUGCUUUUCUAGACUUCCUAGCAUGGGCUGUUGUGCUGGAGAGAACGAGAGCUACGAAGAGACUACAGUGCCUCUGACUUUUUCAUAGGACAGUUGGCCGAGGAAGACAAACAUAAAGAUGAAGUGCUUAAUUCAAGGUCACACAAUGUCGGGGAUGGACCUCCAGAUUUCCUUACUGACCUGCAUUAUCUUGUGGAUACCUGAGUGAAUUCCACACCACCCAUUUUAUAGAUGAAACCACUGAGACAUGGAGCAAUUGACUGAGUAGUCACUGCCCCACCCCUGCCUGGAGCCUCACACAUGACUCGCCUCCUCUCAGUGACCACAGGUUGGUUGAGGGGUUUAACAAGGCUAAGAAG
This 717-nucleotide long non-coding RNA is filed under the name Homo sapiens (human). RNAcentral describes it as "non-protein coding PCBP1-AS1:71". Lineage: Eukaryota; Metazoa; Chordata; Mammalia; Primates; Hominidae. The record is from RNAcentral.